Molecule: long non-coding RNA, 1397 nt
Filed under: Homo sapiens (human)
Lineage: Eukaryota; Metazoa; Chordata; Mammalia; Primates; Hominidae
Description: HSALNT0395188
Source: RNAcentral
UGAGCACUGAGGAAUUUUUAUUUUUCUACAUCUCUCCAGGCAAUCAAGGCAUCGUUCUGAGACCUGCACUGGAAUACCGCGUCGAGUCCUUGCUCAUCCCCACGAAUGCUUUGGGUUUCGCUGUGAUGUGUGUGCAGCUGUAUAUGGGCCUGUUGGGGCUGAUACAGCAGUCAUUCUUUCCAAGAAAUCUUUGAUCUGCUGAAAGGUGACUACAAAGCUGAUAGCCAAGCCUCUUUUUUGCAAGGAAGCCCUGUCGUGCAAGGGAAGGUCAGACGGAUGAGAUUCCGGUUGGUCCCUCUAGCUAAGCUGUUCCGCACGGCGAGUGUAUGGGAACGAGGCUGCUUUGAGCUAACUUUGCCAACGCUCUGCUGGUGAGCACGUUUCUGCACUGUUGAGCUGACAGCUGAAAUCUGUCCUCCUCCUGCGUGUGAUGUCAGCUGUGGGCCAGCCUGGCAGUUAUGAAGAGAAGAAGAGGGGACAGCUAGGGGGAAGAGGAAGCAUGUUACGAUUGUGACCAGACCGGCUGAAACUGUGUGUCAUGUGUCACAAACCCCACGGCCUGGCAGAUCUCCGUGGAGGGAGCUUUGCCUACUCGCAUGACAUAUCUAAAGGCUCACGGGAGGCCAGCCCGCACCUGUAAGUCUCCUGGCUGACGUGCGACCAGGCAGCCUCCAGAGAGAGAGAGAGAGGGAAAUGGGCAAGAGCUGAGACUCCAGCAGCAGCAGGAAAUGGGCUGCGUUGCAGACAGCCGGCGCCACCAAGAGUUAUUUCUAAAAUCUGGGUUCGAUUAUGAUGUGCAGUCAGGUACAAACUGACAGACGAACAACUUUCUCCCAUCUCGCGGCUGCUCCUUGUUUACAGUGCUUUCAGACUCCAUGGAAGUUUCUCUAAAGGCACCUGUGUGGUGUCUCAUAAGAGUCCGGGCUGCCAAGCGCCUCCCGUGUCAUUUCUAACAGGUGUGGAAGGUGAAAGGAAGGAACAUGAAGGAAAAGAUAAGACACGAAGAGAAGGAGCCAUGUGGAAAAACCUGGAGUGCAGAAGUGUUCGUCUGAAAGGCUACGAUGACCGUGAUGAGUAAAUUAUUUUAUUCCUACCAUUAUACAAUAAAAUACUAUCCAGUUCUUGUGUUUAUAGGAGAACAAAUGACUGUUUCUCUAUUUCCAUUCAUCUUCUAUUUUUAAAAUAAAAACUUUAUAUAAGCAUAGGAUACUUAAAAGGACCAAGAUAUAUUUUGGCUUGUGUUUACAUAGGGACAUGUUUGAAAACAUAGCAUUUUUUAAUUGGUAAAAUAGGUAAAAACAACUGGAGAGGAAGUUUCAUGCUUGGCAGAGAUGAUAUUGAAAUAUUCAAUGCACCGGGCAUGGUGGCUCACGCCUGUAAUCCAGCACUUUGGGAAG